Molecule: ribosomal RNA, 481 nt
Filed under: uncultured bacterium
Lineage: Bacteria
Description: partial 16S ribosomal RNA
Rfam family: Bacterial small subunit ribosomal RNA
Source: RNAcentral
AUUGAACGCUGGCGGCAUGCCUUACACAUGCAAGUCGAACGGUAACGGGCCUUCGGGUGCCGACGAGUGGCGAACGGGUGAGUAAUACAUCGGAACGUGCCCGAUCGUGGGGGAUAACGAGGCGAAAGCUUUGCUAAUACCGCAUACGAUCUACGGAUGAAAGCAGGGGACCGCAAGGCCUUGCGCGGACGGAGCGGCCGAUGGCAGAUUAGGUAGUUGGUGGGAUAAAAGCUUACCAAGCCGACGAUCUGUAGCUGGUCUGAGAGGAUGAUCAGCCACACGGGGACUGAGACACGGCCCAGACUCCUACGGGAGGCAGCAGUGGGGAAUUUUGGAUAAUGGGCGCAAGCCUGAUCCAGCCAUGCCGCGUGCAGGAUGAAGGCCUUCGGGUUGUAAACUGCUUUUGUACGGAACGAAAAGCCUUCUUUUAAUACAGGAGGGUCAUGACGGUACCGUAAGAAUAAGCACCGGCUAACUACGU